GACGAACGCUGGCGGCGUGCUUAACACAUGCAAGUCGAACGAAGUGGCGAACGGGUGAGUAAUACGUGGGUAACCUGCCCUCCUUUUUGGGAUAAGCCUUGGAAACGGGGUCUAAUACCGAAUAAAGGGGGAUGGGCUCGCGGCCUAUCAGCUUGUUGGUGGGGUGCUGGCCUACCAAGGCGGUGACGGGUAGCCGGGCUGAGAGGGUGACCGGCUACAUUGGGACUGAGGUACGGCCCAGAGUCCUAAGGGAGGCAGAAGUGGGGGAUAUUGCACAAUGGGUGAAAGCCUGAUGCAGCGACGCCGAGUGGGGGCUGAAGGCUUUCGAGUUGUAAACCUCUGGCGCUAUCGAACGGGUAGCUGGAGAAGAAGCGCCGGCUAACUACGUGCCAGCAGCCGCGGUAAUAC
This 408-nucleotide ribosomal RNA is filed under the name uncultured bacterium. RNAcentral's name for it is "partial 16S ribosomal RNA". It matches the Rfam family "Bacterial small subunit ribosomal RNA", at positions 28 to 526 of the family's 1533-position model. The record is from RNAcentral.